AACUGGUCCAAGUUCAGUGGUGCUUACAACUAAUCGAUCACAACCAAUUAUAGAUUUCUUUGUUCCUUCUCCACUCCUACUGUUCUUUUGACUAGCCUUAA
Molecule: Y RNA, 101 nt
Filed under: Propithecus coquereli (Coquerel's sifaka)
Lineage: Eukaryota; Metazoa; Chordata; Mammalia; Primates; Indriidae
Description: Y RNA (ENSPCOG00000007639.1)
Rfam family: Y RNA
About the family: Y RNAs are components of the Ro ribonucleoprotein particle (Ro RNP), in association with Ro60 and La proteins. The Y RNAs and Ro60 and La proteins are well conserved, but the function of the Ro RNP is not known. In humans the RNA component can be one of four small RNAs -- hY1, hY3, hY4 and hY5.
Source: Rfam by way of RNAcentral